GACGAACGCUGGCGGCGUGCUUAACACAUGCAAGUCGAACGUGAUUUUUGUGGAAAUUCUUUCGGGAAUGGAAAUGAAAUGAAAGUGGCGAACGGGUGAGUAACACGUGAGCAACCUACCUUACACAGGGGGAUAGCCGUUGGAAACGACGAUUAAUACCGCAUGAGACCACAGAAUCGCAUGAUAUAGGGGUAAAAGAUUUAUCGGUGUAAGAAGGGCUCGCGUCUGAUUAGCUAGUUGGAAGGGUAAAGGCCUACCAAGGCGACGAUCAGUAGCCGGUCUGAGAGGAUGAACGGCCACAUUGGAACUGAGACACGGUCCAAACUCCUACGGGAGGCAGCAGUGGGGAAUAUUGCACAAUGGGGGGAACCCUGAUGCAGCGACGCCGCGUGAGCGAAGAAGGUUUUCGAAUCGUAAAGCUCUGUCCUAUGAGAAGAUAAUGACGGUAUCAUAGGAGGAAGCCCCGGCUAAAUACGUGCCAGCAGCCGCGGUAAUACGUAUGGGGCGAGCGUUGUCCGGAAUUAUUGGGCGUAAAGGGUACGUAGGCGGCCUUUUAAGUCAGGUGUGAAAGCGUGAGGCUUAACCUCAUUAAGCACUUGAAACUGGAAGGCUUGAGUGAAGGAGAGGAAAGUGGAAUUCCUAGUGUAGCGGUGAAAUGCGUAGAUAUUAGGAGGAAUACCGGUGGCGAAGGCGACUUUCUGGACUUUUACUGACGCUCACGUACGAAAGCGUGGGGAGCAAACAGG
RNAcentral lists this ribosomal RNA (746 nucleotides) under uncultured Parvimonas sp. RNAcentral describes it as "bacterial SSU rRNA". It matches the Rfam family "Bacterial small subunit ribosomal RNA", at positions 28 to 776 of the family's 1533-position model. The record is from RNAcentral. Lineage: Bacteria; Bacillati; Bacillota; Tissierellia; Tissierellales; Peptoniphilaceae.